This is a non-coding RNA of 370 nucleotides. It matches the Rfam family "transfer-messenger RNA". Rfam says of the family: Bacterial tmRNA, also known as 10Sa RNA or SsrA, is named for its dual tRNA and mRNA-like properties. The record is from Rfam.
GGGGGCGACCUGGUUUCGACAGGGGUUGCGAAGCGGCCAGGGCAUACCGAGGACCCGUCACCUCGUUAAUCAAUGGGAAAAACGUAACUGCAAACGACGAUACGUUCGCACUGGCAGCCUAAGGGCCGCCGUCCUCUGCCUAGUUCACUGACGGGCUAGUGUCGCAAGACCGGUAGCAAUACCGACAGAGGUCAUAUACGUCAGUUAAGUCCUGGUGGCGUCACGACGCCAGGGUCGAAAAUUUAGUGAAUCGCUGUAACGAAGCGUGUUCGUCCGCGUCGUUGCGGCUAAAUCAAAAGACAGAACUAAGUAUGUAGAACUGGUCGUAGAGCGCUACUGGACGCGGGUUCGAUUCCCGCCGCCUCCACCA